AUGGAGGGGAGGGCGAGGCGGCGCGCCAGCCCGUCCGGGACGCGCACCAAGGCAGUCAGGGUGGAGCCGGAGCCGCCACCAACGACCAAGAGGCAUGGGCCAGGGAUGAGGGCGGCGGUGGUGUACUACCUCUGCCGCAGCCACCACCUAGAGCACCCACACUUCAUGGAGGUGACCCUCGCCUCCCCACAAGGCCUCUACCUGCGAGAUGUGAUUGGCUGGCUGGAUGCCCUGAGAGGGAAGGGCAUGGUGGCCAAGUAUUCCUGGUCCUGCAAGAGGAGCUACAAGACUGGAUUCGUGUGGCACGAUCUGUCUGUGGAUGAUCUGCUGCUGCUCACGCAAGGAACAGAGUACGUUCUCAAGGGCUCCGAGUUCCCAUUCGACGAGUCAAAGCCUCUGCCAAUGCCAGGAGCUACAAGACUGGAUUCGUGUGGCACGAUCUGUCUGUGGAUGAUCUGCUGCUGCUCACGCAAGGAACAUAGUACGUUCUCAAGGGCUCCGAGUUCCCAUUCGACGAGUCAAAGCCUCUGCCAAUGCCAGUCGGAGGAUCCACGGAGAGCGAUGGAGGGGAGGGCGAGGCGGCGCGCCAGCCCGUCCGGGAUGCGCACCAAGGCAGUCAAGGUGGAGCCAGAGCCGCCACCGACGACCAAGAGGCAUGGGCCAGGGAUGAGGGCGGCGGUGGUGUAUCACCUCUGCCGCAGCCACCACCUAGAGCACCCACACUUCAUGGAGGUGACCCUCGCCUCCCCACAAGGCCUCUACCUGCGAGAUGUGAUUGGCCGGCUGGACGCCCUGAGAGGGAAGGGCAUGGUGGCCAAGUAUUCCUGGUCCUGCAAGAGGAGCUACAAGACUGGAUUCGUGUGGCACGAUCUAUCUGUGGAUGAUCUGCUGCUGCUCACGCAAGGAACAGAGUACGUUCUCAAGGGCUCCGAGUUCCCAUUCGACGAGUCAAAGCCUCUGCCAAUGCCAGAUCAUCAGCAGAAUAAUGCAGUAUGUGCAAAGGUUCAGCCCUGCAAGCCGGCUCGACAACAAGAGUCGCCUUGUUCUCCUGGAUCAUCAAACCAAGGGUGGACUUCCAAGUCUCCGUCUCCUACUCCUACAACUUACCCCACAGUUCCAGUCAUGAAAGAGGAAGUACCGCCGCCACCACCAACAACAGCUCGUGCUGCUGUUGUUCCAGCCAUCAAAGAGCACGCGGUGCCACCGCGACUUCCCCAGCUGAUCUCGCCGUCAACACCAUCUGCCUCCACCAUUGGAGAAUGA
RNAcentral lists this ribosomal RNA (1263 nucleotides) under Triticum aestivum (bread wheat). RNAcentral describes it as "partial small subunit ribosomal RNA". Lineage: Eukaryota; Viridiplantae; Streptophyta; Magnoliopsida; Poales; Poaceae. The record is from RNAcentral.